Molecule: ribosomal RNA, 537 nt
Filed under: Triticum aestivum (bread wheat)
Lineage: Eukaryota; Viridiplantae; Streptophyta; Magnoliopsida; Poales; Poaceae
Description: partial small subunit ribosomal RNA
Source: RNAcentral
AUGGAAGGGCUCCUACAUUGGGAUUUCAACCCUGGCCUUGCAUUGGCCGAGCAGGUACGUCGCCGGUUUGGAGAAACGGUGCACUUCUCUCCUUCGUGCAAGACCAAGGAAUUUUUCUUGGUUGUCUCCUUUUCCUCAGCUUCCUUCCCCCUCAAUGAGGAAUCUGUGGGUGUGGCUCUACAAUGUUGCAUUGGUGGCCAUCAUCUUGGUUUUAAGGUUUCUAAGAUUUUUGAGAAGUCCUUUCGCUUUUCUGUGGUCGGGAACAAGGUUGGACAUUUUAUUCAUGGCCUCAAGGACCAUACUUGGCCAGAUUUCAUCUGUUCAAUGGUCGUUUCAGUGGGUACAAGCAUUUGGAUUCUCGUUGGCAUGCAGAUGAAAGGCUGGACUCUAUUGCUAGUCGGAGCCCCGUGGUUGUGCGCAUUGCCACAUCAGUUUUCACACAGCCCUCUGGACUUGAUCAUACAACCUCCAAAGAGUUAUGCAAAUUUGGCUCGUUCCUAUAGCUUCCAUGGAUUUCAACGACAUGAACAGUCAUGA